Molecule: ribosomal RNA, 250 nt
Filed under: uncultured prokaryote
Description: partial 16S ribosomal RNA
Rfam family: Bacterial small subunit ribosomal RNA
Source: RNAcentral
UACGGAGGAUGCGAGCGUUAUCCGGAUUUAUUGGGUUUAAAGGGUGCGUAGGCGGCCUGUCAAGUCAGCGGUGAAAUCCCCGUGCUCAACAUGGGAACUGCCGUUGAUACUGCCGGGCUGGAGUACGGUUGCCGUGGGAGGAAUGUGUGGUGUAGCGGUGAAAUGCUUAGAUAUCACACAGAACACCGAUUGCGAAGGCAUCUCACGAAGCCGUCCACUGACGCUGAGGCACGAAAGCGUGGGGAUCAAA